CCUACAGGUGGCAGCAGUCGAGAAUCAUUCACAAUGGGGGAAACCCUGAUGGUGCGACGCCGCGUGGGGGAAUGAAGGUCUUCGGAUUGUAAACCCCUGUCAUGUGGGAGCAAAUUAAAAAGAUAGUACCACAAGAGGAAGAGACGGCUAACUCGGUGCCAGCAGCCGCGGUAAUACAGCGGUCUCAAGCGUUGUUCGGAAUCACUGGGCUUAAAGCGUGCGGUGGCUGUUUCGUAAGUCGGGUGUGAAAGGCGCGGGCUCAACCCGCGGACGGCACAUGAUACUGGGUGUCUAGAGUAUAGGAGGGGUAAGCGGAAUUCUCGGUGUAGCAGUGAAAUGCGUAGAUAUCGAGAGGAACACUCAUGGCGAAGGCAGGUUCCUGGACAUUAACUGACGCUGAGGCACGAAGGCCAGGGGAGCGAAAGGGAUUAGAUACCCUUGUAGUC
RNAcentral lists this ribosomal RNA (446 nucleotides) under uncultured bacterium. Its description in RNAcentral is "partial 16S ribosomal RNA". It matches the Rfam family "Bacterial small subunit ribosomal RNA", at positions 338 to 795 of the family's 1533-position model. The record is from RNAcentral.